RNAcentral lists this ribosomal RNA (403 nucleotides) under bacterium. Its description in RNAcentral is "partial 16S ribosomal RNA". It matches the Rfam family "Bacterial small subunit ribosomal RNA", at positions 355 to 776 of the family's 1533-position model. The record is from RNAcentral.
UGGGGAAUAUUGCACAAUGGAGGGAACUCUGAUGCAGCGACGCCGCGUGAACGAAGAAGGCUUUCGAGUCGUAAAGUUCUUUUAUAUGGGAAGAUAAUGACGGUACCAUAAGAAAAAGCCCCGGCUAACUACGUGCCAGCAGCCGCGGUAAUACGUAGGGGGCUAGCGUUGUCCGGAAUCACUGGGCGUAAAGGGAUCGCAGGCGGAAAUGCAAGUCAGGUGUAAAAGGCAGUAGCUUAACUACUGUAAGCAUUUGAAACUGGAUAUCUUGAGAAGAGUAGAGGUAAGUGGAAUUUUUAGUGUAGCGGUGAAAUGCGUAGAUAUUAAAAAGAAUACCGGUGGCGAAGGCGACUUACUGGGCUCAUUCUGACGCUGAGGAACGAAAGCGUGGGUAGCAAACAGG